RNAcentral lists this ribosomal RNA (253 nucleotides) under uncultured bacterium. Its description in RNAcentral is "partial 16S ribosomal RNA". It matches the Rfam family "Bacterial small subunit ribosomal RNA", at positions 524 to 776 of the family's 1533-position model. The record is from RNAcentral.
UACGAAGGGGGCUAGCGUUGUUCGGAAUUACUGGGCGUAAAGCGCGCGUAGGCGGGCGUCUAAGUCAGGGGUGAAAUCCCAGGGCUCAACCCUGGAACUGCCUUUGAUACUGGAUGCCUGGAGUUCGGGAGAGGUGAGUGGAAUUCCGAGUGUAGAGGUGAAAUUCGUAGAUAUUCGGAGGAACACCAGAAGCGAAGGCGGCUCACUGGCCCGAUACUGACGCUGAGGCGCGAAAGCGUGGGGAGCAAACAGG